AACAAGGCACAUUUCAACUUUAUUUUUUCACAUAGGUUCCUUGACCAAGAUAUAAACAGUAUCACAAGGAUCCAUGAAUGAAAUGCUUACAUUAUUGAACCAUGAAUGAUUGCACAGCCUUAGAACACACAGGACCGAAGAAUAGUUGAAAUCAAAGGUCAAAUCAAGGUGAAAGCAUAGAUGCCGGUUACUUAUGCAGGUCUGCCGAUCGGUGGAUUGGAUUGCAAUUGCAACUCAGCAAUAC
Molecule: long non-coding RNA, 244 nt
Filed under: Setaria italica (foxtail millet)
Lineage: Eukaryota; Viridiplantae; Streptophyta; Magnoliopsida; Poales; Poaceae
Description: long non-coding RNA (SITA_LNC005928)
Source: RNAcentral